CCAGCAUCAAACGCACAUGUUGGGUGUGUUGUGUUGAGCAUUGCAGCGGUUUUACAGCGUUUAUCAGAGCUGUGCACGCUGUCUGCAGGCCACAGUUUCAGCGCCACGAGCCUCUCGGUCCGUGAGAAACACUGAAAAAGCCGAGUUAUUGUCGGAAACAGCUGCGAGGAGGCUGAAACGCGCCCGGCGUGGCUGCAGCGGCUACUGUCUGUCUGACUAACGUUACACCUGGCUGGAGGCUUUGAGGCUCGCCGUGCGACACAAUGAGCUCCAAGGUGUGUAAGAACUGCGGCAGCACGGACAUCGAUGUGGACCAGGCGCGCGGCGAUGCCGUCUGCAUGGGCUGCGGCUCCGUGCUGGAGGACAACAUCAUCGUGGCCGAGGUGGAGUUUGUGGAGUCGAGCGGCGGAGGCUCGCUGGCCGUCGGACAGUUCAUCUCCUCAGAUGGCGGAGGCCCCAACAUGUCUUUUGGAGACGGACACUUGCAGAAUUGUGGGAGGGAGUCCAGAGCGCAGACACUGUCGAGAGCAAAACAGAACAUCAACACUCUGGGUCACCAGCUGCAGAUGAACAAGCACUGUCUGGACACGGCCUUCAACUUCUACAAGAUGGCGCUCAGCAAACACCUGACCCGCGGCCGUAAGGCCUCCCACGUGGUCGCCGCCUGCCUCUACAUGGUCUGCCGGACUGAGGGAACGCCACACAUGCUGCUGGACCUCAGCGAUCUCCUGCAGGUGAACGUCUACGUCCUGGGCAGAACCUUCCUCGUGCUGGCCAGAGAACUGUGCAUCAACGCCCCGGCUAUAGACCCGUGCCUUUACAUCCCCCGCUUCGCACAGAUGCUGGAAUUUGGGGAGAAGAACCACGAAGUCUCCAUGACUGCGAUGAGGCUGGUGCAGAGGAUGAAGAGGGACUGGAUGCACACCGGACGAAGGCCGUCAGGACUCUGCGGAGCAGCCCUUCUCGUUGCCGCUCGUAUGCACGACUUUCGCCGCACCAUCAAAGAAGUCAUCGGCAUUGUGAAAGUGUGUGAAACCACAAUCAGAAAAAGACUGAUGGAGUUUGAAGACACACCCACCAGUCAGCUGACCAUCGAAGAGUUCAUGAAGAUGGAUCUGGACCAAGAGUGUGACCCACCCUGCUUUACAGCCGGACUGAUGAAGAAAAAAGCCCAUCAGCUGGAGAUGGAGCUGAAGAAAAAGAUGGAUGACGUAGAAGAGGAAAUUCAGAGCUACCAGGAUGAAAUAGACGCAGAGCUUCAGUCCAACAGACCCAAGCUGAGGGGGGUGUACGCCGCCUACGCUAAGGAAGAUGGUGACAAUGAGGAGCAGGAGGUCCUGUCCACAACCUCCAAGAUGGAAGACUGUGAGGAACCAGAAGAGGAAGACGAGCUUCAGGCCGUGGCCAGGCACUUUGGCAAAGAGCUCGACGAGCUCUCGCUGGAGGCUCUGAUCAAACUGGAGCAGAAGAGACCAGAGGAGGAGCAGGAGGAGGACGGUCAAAAACGAAAAGGCCCUUCGCUGGCGUCCAUCCUGGGCAGGAUGCCCUCAGCGGCCACCCUCGGCCUCACAGAGACCAUCGGCAGCUGCAUCGGAGACGGGAAGGAGAACAAUGGUGCUGCUGACGGUGGGGAGCUGGACCUGAGUGGGAUAGAUGACCGUGAGAUAGAGCUGUAUCUGCUGAGCGACAAAGAAAUCAAAGUCAAGACGGCGCUGUGGAUGGCAGAAAACUCAGACUACCUCAAAGAGCAGAAAGAAAAAGAAGCAAAGAUAGCGAAGGAGAAGGAGCUCGGGAUCUACAAAGAAAGGAAGCCUAGAGGACCCAGGAAGAAGCUUCCCCUGAUCCACGCCAGCACCGCAGACGAGGCCAUCGGGAAGAUGCUGGAGCACAAGAAGAUCUCCUCAAAGAUCAACUACGACAUCCUGAAGGACCUCAACAUCAAGUCCGGCGCCAGCCCAGCUCGCAAGGCCGAGUCCCCGAAGAAGGAGCCGAUUGCCGCCAAACUGACCGGACGUAACCGCCAACCUGCUCGAUCUUCAAUCAGCCUCAGCACGCCGCUCAGCACCCUGGGAAAAAGGUCGGUAGAAGGUUGCAGCCGUUCAUCAGCGGACAGCCACACAAGAAGCUCGCAGCAGAGCAGAUUGCCAAUUCCAACCCCCUGCCGGUGCCUGUGGGAGACCCCGCCAGCGUAGUGGUGGUGGAGAGCGGGCCGGUCCACUACGACGACACUGCUGCUGCUGCUGCUGCUGAGGAGGAAGAUGAGGAGGAAGAGGAGACUUGUGUCAGCGCCAUGGAGAUGUUGGGUGGCAACGAUUACGGCUGUGAUGGAGAUUACGACGAUGGAUUCUAGCAGUGGUCCUGCCCCGGGUUAUUAUGUCCAACUAGUACGGACCACGUGGACUCCUUCAGUGUAUCAAACGUUUACUACCAGAGACACACAAUGGCUGCAGCUGCAGACGUGAGCUGGAGCAGGAAUAAACGGGACACGUGUGCAAAAAAACAAGAAGUCAGAGGGUCAACUGGGAGGACGCUGACGGGGGUGCUGAAGUGAAAAUGAGGGAUAGAUUAUAUUUAUCAGAGGAGGUCACAGGCAGCCUGCAGUGACAAUACUGCACAAUCAAAGGUGGGAAAUAUUCCAGUACGCACUGGUUUGUUGAUUCGCAUGUUAGAAGACAUUUAGGUUAAAACUGGGAUAAACUUUAGACAAAUAAGUUUCAUAAAACCAAAUAACUGUUGAUUCAGCAGCAUUUAAAUGACUGAUUUCACAAGUUUUCAGAUUUAAACGCUGCUGAAACGGUUUUAAGCUAGCUGUCUUUAUGUCCUGCAAAAAUACCAAAUCGCUGUUCACUGUGAAGCACUCGUCAGGAGACGAAUGCAGAAGGAAUUCAUUUUCAGGAGAACAGCUGUCUGCGCUGGGUGAAACGUUUCCACCGAGGUUUUAUUGCAGCGUAACGCAGCAAAAAGCAAAGCAGAACCAAACGUAUUAUCCUUUAACUUGCACUUUGCAUUCCUGACACUCUAAAACUUCACAGCAUGUGACUUCCACGCGUACUUCCUGAUAAUUAAUUCUGCCUCAGAUCUAUUAUACUGUGUACUGAAAAACAAGCAUCUAACAAUCAGGUAGCGUGAGAUCAAUCAGCAAAGUGCAGAAAGUAUUUUCCUGUCACUUCUGCUUCAGAUGAGGUUGAUCUGCAAACAGCCUCACGGCUCUGAUCAGUAUUUAUUAAUGCCUUAGGUGAUUAGUGAUCCGACACGCGCUGUCUGCUCUUAAGCCAAAGUAUUACGAGGUGGCCUUCGAACAAUGUGUGCCAGUGUUUGCUGAGAUGCUAUUAAAUCCAGAAAUAGUGAGAUUUUAAUUCCAGAUCAAUGUCGAAUGGUUUGAUUAGUUUUAUGUUGCUAUUAAUUGGCUCUGGGCUUUCCUUAAUGAGUGUUUUUUUUUGUUUUGUGUGUUAAUUUAUGAGAUUGUGUCAUUUGAUGGUUAAAUAUGCCUCACGAUGUCCUGCCACAGGCCGCGCAGGUGUUUAAAGGUGCCAGAUGGAUGAGGGAGCCCAUUCGGAGCAUAGAUUUAUUUUGUAUUUAAGCUUUUAUGAUUUUUGUGUUGGGGGAAAAAAUGACUUUGGGAGGUGAAACAGAAUGUGGCCUUUUCACUGUGUCCACACAACAGUAUUUAAGAAGGGGGCCGGUUGCCUCUGUGCUGCUGCUACAAGUGAAAUGUUACAUCUGCAUAUUGUUGUGUGCAUUUGCUGCUACACUAAAGAUUUCACUAAAUGACAA
RNA transcript from Micropterus dolomieu (smallmouth bass), 3774 nucleotides. It is a transcript of the gene named transcription factor IIIB 90 kDa subunit-like, with no coding region annotated. Lineage: Eukaryota; Metazoa; Chordata; Actinopteri; Centrarchiformes; Centrarchidae. The transcript has 19 exons. The record is from RefSeq and is a predicted model, not a curated record.